CAAGUGACCCCGGUUACCACCGGGAUGUUCAUAACCCUUUGUUGUCCGACUCUGUUGCCUCCGGGGCGACCCUGCCUUCGGGCGGGGGCUCCGGGUGGACACUUCAAACUCUUGCGUAACUUUGCAGUCUGAGUAAACUUAAUUAAUAAAUUA
Molecule: unclassified non-coding RNA, 153 nt
Filed under: soil metagenome
Description: partial internal transcribed spacer 1
Source: RNAcentral